This 327-nucleotide ribosomal RNA is filed under the name uncultured eukaryote. Its description in RNAcentral is "partial 18S ribosomal RNA". It matches the Rfam family "Eukaryotic small subunit ribosomal RNA", at positions 1470 to 1796 of the family's 1831-position model. The record is from RNAcentral.
CCCUUAGAUGUUCUGGGCCGCACGCGCGCUACACUGACGAAUGCAACGAGCUUAUAACCUUGGCCGAAAGGUCUGGGUAAUCUCCAAAUUUCGUCGUGAUGGGGAUAGAUUAUUGCAAUUAUUAAUCUUCAACGAGGAAUGCCUAGUAAGCGCAAGUCAUCAGCAUGCGUUGAUUACGUCCCUGCCCUUUGUACACACCGCCCGUCGCUCCUACCGAUUGAAUGGUCCGGUGAAGCGUUCGGACCGUGGCCUUUGGACGGUUCGCCGUCUGUUGGCUGCGGGAAGUUCGUUAAACCUUAUCAUUUAGAGGAAGGAGAAGUCGUAACA